RNAcentral lists this ribosomal RNA (408 nucleotides) under uncultured Rhodobacterales bacterium. RNAcentral describes it as "bacterial SSU rRNA". It matches the Rfam family "Bacterial small subunit ribosomal RNA", at positions 24 to 480 of the family's 1533-position model. The record is from RNAcentral. Lineage: Bacteria; Pseudomonadati; Pseudomonadota; Alphaproteobacteria; Rhodobacterales.
UCAGAACGAACGCUGGCGGCAGGCCUAACACAUGCAAGUCGAGCGCGCCUUCGGGUGAGCGACGGACGGGUUAGUAACGCGUGGGAACGUACCCUUCUCUACGGAAUAGCCUUUGGAAACGAAGAGUAAUACCGUAUACGCCCUUUGGGGGAAAGAUUUAUCGGAGAAGGAUCGGCCCGCGUUAGAUUAGAUAGUUGGUGGGGUAACGGCCUACCAAGUCUACGAUCUAUAGCUGGUUUUAGAGGAUGAUCAGCAACACUGGGACUGAGACACGGCCCAGACUCCUACGGGAGGCAGCAGUGGGGAAUCUUAGACAAUGGGCGCAAGCCUGAUCUAGCCAUGCCGCGUGAGUGAUGAAGGCCUUAGGGUCGUAAAGCUCUUUCGCCUGUGAUGAUAAUGACAGUAGCA